RNAcentral lists this ribosomal RNA (440 nucleotides) under uncultured bacterium. RNAcentral describes it as "partial 16S ribosomal RNA". It matches the Rfam family "Bacterial small subunit ribosomal RNA", at positions 338 to 795 of the family's 1533-position model. The record is from RNAcentral.
CCUACGGGUGACAGCAGUGGGGAAUAUUGCACAAUGGGGGAAACCCUGAUGCAGCGACGCCGCGUGAGUGAAGAAGUAUCUCGGUACGGAAAGCUCUAUCAGCAGGGAAGAAAAUGACGGUACCUGACUAAGAAGCCCCGGCUAACUACGUGCCAGCAGCCGCGGUAAUACGUAGGGGGCAGGCGUUAUCCGGAUUUACUGGGUGUAAAGGGAGCGUAGGCGGUUUAGCAAGUCAGAAGUGAAAGUCCGGGGCUCAACUCCGGGACUGCUUUUGAAACUGUUGAACUAGAUUGCAGGAGAGGUAAGCGGAAUUCAUAGUGUAGCGGUGAAAUGCGUAGAUAUUAGGAGGAACACCAGUGGCGAAGGCGGCUUACUGGACUGUAAAUGACGCUGAGGCUCGAAAGCGUGGGGAGCAAACAGGAUUAGAUACCCGGGUAGUC